UCCAAACAAAUCAUUCCGCAAAUCAAACGGCAAUAGCUCACCCUCCCCUUCCAUGUACAACUUCCCACUAAUAUCAGGACCACAGAAUCUCUUCAGCUUAUGCCAAAAAGACAUUUUAAUAGUAUCCGGAGUACGAAUCAUUUUCCAGGUAUCAGCAUUUGCGGAAUACAACUGUGCUUCUGAGAAGUUACCCAUGUUAAUAAUAGAACCCCAUGUGUUACGGACAACCUUUGUUACAAUCCUAAGAAUCUUGUAGUCAUUUCCAACAGAAUCAAACCCAAACCCUAGACAAACCCCGACUUGAUUGAUUUCAUAGUUGGGGGCAUAAAGCAUCUUAUACUGUCUAGUACAUGGAUUCCAAAUACAAAUAUCAUAGCUACUUUCAUUGGAAAGACAAACAAGACCAUUACAAGAACGCAUGUAAUAAACCAUACCCUCAAGACGUGAUGGCAAUUUAAGCUCAACUGAUUCUUCAACAGUGUCCAUGGAGAAAACCCUCCAAUAAUAAGAGGCUUUGAGCACGGAUGCUUGUUUGUUCCUGGAAUUGGCAAGGUGGGCUUCAACAAACUGUGGGCUUGUUAUGAUGGACAGCCAGGUUUUGCAGACUGAUUUGAAGCGGAGAAGUGAUAUUACAGGAAGAUGGGAAAGUAUGAGAAAAACCAUCUCUUCGGAGAAAUAAUUAGUCGCCAUUGAGCCCUAGGAUGUUGUGUGUAUUAUAUAACAUUCAAAUGUGCAUCAGAAAGAUAAACAAGACCAUUACAAGAAUGAAAAUAACGAACCAUACUCUUACAGCAUGAUGACAAUUUGAACACUAUUAACGGCCGGUGUACUUAUUUUCUCUUGGAAUUAAGGUGGACUUCAACAAACUGAGGGUUUGUUAUAUAUAAAGAAUAGAUAGGUUUUACAAACUCAAAGCUGAAGGUGAUAUCACAAGAAGAUAUGAAUGUCGAAUAUUAUUUCUUCACAUAAAUAAUAGAUAGAUCUUUUACUCCUUAUUCAGCUGUAAUGAUGAUGAUAAAGUUGCGUUUUAGGGUUCCCGUUAUCGAACCCUAAUAUAUAUAUCCGUUGUAUUUAUUCUUACAAAUUCUGUAAAUUAUUUUAAGCUUUCUUUUCAAAAGGUUUAUCAAAGAGUUUAAAAUUAUUAAGAAAAUUAUAUACAAAAAUUUCAACCUAUUUUACAACAAAGCAGGGUGUACUUCGUAGACUCAAUGACAAGGCAUUAGACUAACCCCCUUGUGCUCUCUACAUUACACAAAUUUACGAAACAAACAAGCUGGUCCUAUUAUAAACACAUUUGCAGCAAUUAUGCUGGACUCUUCCUUUCCCAGAUAUGACCCUGCAAAAGAUUACAAGAAUGUCAGUCUAAGAAUAUCUGAUAACAUUUGGAAAAAAUGAACUCGAAAAGAAAACAAACGAUAAUUCUAUGGAAUUGAGCAUUCUUUCUUUCACAAUAUCAAAGUUACUUACCACUUCACGCUUGUGAUUCAAACCCCUCAAGAGAGACAAGGCUCUCAGUGAACUUGGCAACCGACUUGACAUCGGUGAGAUGAGCGGGGAAAGGAAGCUUCUUAGUGGUUUUCUUCUUGUAGUUGUAAAAUUUGUAUCCAAAAAUAAAAUUAAGUCCAAGAAAGUGUUGGGCGCCCAAAUAAAGAUACAUCCGAUCCAACUCUAAAUCCGUUUCAAGAUUGAACUUUUUAAUCCACAAGCCAGCAUCAUCUAACAUCCAAAGACUAAGGACUGAUUCAUCCCCAGCUGCAGAUUCAUAUACCAUAGCCAGAGAACCUUCAAAAUCCAAAAUUUUGGACUUCUUUAUCCUUUUCUGUUCCACGUUAUAAUCAAGAAACGGUAAUACUACAAGUUCUCCAAACACAUCGUUGCGCAAAUCAAACGGCAAUAGCCCACCGUCACCUUCCAAAUACAACUUCCCACUAAUAUCAGGACCACAGGAUCUCUUCAGCCUAUUCCAAAAAGAUAUUCUAAUAGUAUCCGGAAUACGAAUCUUUUUCCAAGUAUCAGCCUUUGCGGAAUACAACUGUGCUUCUGGUUUAAGAUUCAUGCUAACAAUAAAACCUCGUAAGUCACGGACAACCUUUGUUACAAUCCAAAGAAUCUUGUAGUCGUUUCCAAUAGAAUCAAAACCAAACCCUAGACAAUGCCUUACACCAAAUGCAUAGUUGGGCACAGAAAGCAUCUUAUACUGUCUAGUACACGGAUUCCAAAUACAUAUACUAUCAUAACAAUCAUUAGAAAGACAAACAAGACCAUUACAAGAACGCAUGUAACGAACCUUACCCUCCCAAUGUGAUGGCAGUUUAAGCUCAACUGAAUCUUCCACAGUGUCCAUGGAGAGAACCCUCCAAUCAUAAGAGGCUUUGAGCACAGAUGCUUGUUUCUUCUAGGAAUUAGCCAGCUGGGCUUUAACAAACUGUGGGCUUUCUAUGAUAGAUAGCCAGGUUUUGCACACAGAUUUGCAGCGUAGAAGUGAUAUUACAGGAAGAUAGGAAAGUAUGAGGAACACCAUCUCUUCGGAUAAAUAAUUAUUACAUCUUUUAGUGGCCAUUGAGCACAAGAAAUGAUUAUGAGAAUAAUAAAGUUGCGUUUUGGUGUUCAGAUAGAGGUGGUAAGAAGAGGGGUGCGAGACUAGGCAUUCUGAACCCUAUUAUAUAUAUACCCGCUGUACCCUACACAGCGAACAGACGCCUCCCUCUAUUUCUUCACUUCGCGACUCUUCGCGUAAAUUCUUUUUCUUUAUCAGGGAAAACGUCAUCAAUCUGCCUAAACAAAUCUGCGGGAAUAAUAAUUUUUGCCAUAACAAGAAUUUAUUUCUAAAAAAGUUUUAAAUUACUAAUUCUGCCGGUUAAAUAUUCUUUUUCAAAUUUUCUUUUUAUGAAUUAAAAUAUUAUACUUAUAAUUUUAUUCACAAAAGUAAAAAUUUCAAAUAGGUGAUUAAAUUACUUAAAAGUACAUGAAAAAAAGUUAGGAGACUAACAUACCCACAAAAAGAAUAAUUAAUAUUUGGUCACAUUUCUUUGAUUAGAUAUAUUUUUUGAAAAUGUGAAAUAAUUAGAGCAUGUAUCAAUUCAUAGUAGAAUAUCUUAAUGGUAUUUGAUAAAAUAAUGAAGUCUUAAAUAUAAAAACAAUUUUUACAUUAAUUUCUUGAAAUAAUUAAGUAAAGUAUUAUGUUUAUUAUAAUUCCUGAAAAUUUAAUAUUAAUGUUAUUGAUAUCGAGUAAGCAUUAUUCUGAUUGGACAAUUUUUUUUUAAAAAAAAUCAGUUCAAGGAUCAAUUCAAAAAAACAUAUGUUAUUUUACCAUCAUAACUUGUUUUAAGAUUAUAAACAAUAAGAUAAUUAAUUCUUUUAGAGUGUAAAAGAAUUGGGGCGUACCUUCAAAAAUAAAAAUCUCCUGCAAAUUCCUUUCAAAAAUAUGUUUUUAGAUCAAUUGAACUUUAAAAAUUACAAUUUAAAACUUCUCCGAUCUAAUAUGCAACUCCAUUUUUAUUAUAUUUUUCUCAAUUGAUUUGAGAAGUAAUUCCCUUUUGUAAAUCGUAACUUUCAAAAAUGAAACUUAAAAACAGAAAUUUGAAUAUAUAUUUCAGAAAACCAUUUUUUCGAAACCAAGUUAAAAGUGUAGGGUGUUUCUUUAUAAUUUCCCUAAAUAAUACUGUCAAACAAGCCCGAAAUCCGUUUGCUUGCUUUGGAUAGCAUUUUCAAGUCAAAUAAUUAAACGAAUGGGAAAAGUCAUAUCUAGAAGCACAUAAGCAACUAUAUAUAUUCAAGCUUCACUACCAUAAAAUCCACAGCAUGCAGAUGAAAAAGGAGAAGCAACUUUUACCUAUCCGUCUAAACAUAAUAAUUUUUAGCAACCAACAAAUCCAUCCAUUAUACCUAGAACCUAAACUUACAAAGCAGGGUGUACUUGGUACUCAAUGACAAGGCAUUAGACUAAAUUCACUUGUGCCAUCUACAUGCACAAUUUACAAAACAAACAAGCUGGUCCAGUUAUAAACACAUUUGCCACAAUUCUGCCCGACUCUUCCUUUCCCUUAAAUGACCCUGCAAAAGAUUGCCAAUGUCAGUCUAAUAAGCACUUGAUAACAUUUGUGAACUGUCGCAAAAUUCUUUAGAGAACCAUAUUUCACCUUGGCAUUGCAUUAUAUUACAAAAAGAUGAAACAUAAAUAAUUGUGGCUCUUUAAUUGGUAGAAGUAGCGGCUUCUUUAAGUGUAGAAGUCCAGUACACCCUUUCUGUUUAUUUUAUCCAACUUUAACUUGUUAUGCUAAUUGCUUUUGUUUUAGUUUCAUUAGUUGGAAAAUGGUGAAUGUAUUGCACUUGCAAGAAACAGUAUCAUGUGACUUGUGUCUCUGGAUUUUAAACGAAUUUCUUAGCAAGUUUAUCUAUUAUCAAUUCAAACUCUUUUAAAAAUUAUAUUAUAAUGUACCAAACACUGCACGAACUUAUAAGUCAAAUUAUCCAAACACUAAAAAAAACUUACAAGUUCAAGUAACCAAACACUUAAAUUAAUGUUUGACAAAUUAACAAUGAGUUGAGAAUAGUAUUAUUAUUAUUACACACGCACUAACAAAAUCUCCUUCACAAGUCCUGAACAAUGAGUAGAAUACAAUACAAGAUGAAUAUCUUACCUAUAUUCCUCUAUUGAAUAAAUUGAAUUUCCUUUUCUUAGUUAGACUAGCUGGUAAAAGCAAAAAUAUAAUAACAAAUCUCAAAAAAAUUCUGCAAGAUAACGGUAACAUGGUAGAUCCACAAAAAACCAGGGUAAUGGAUCCAUACAUCACAGGUACUAGAGUGUCUGAUAUACUAUAAAUGCCGAUAUCACAGAGCAUACUCAAUCUUCAACAUUUUUCCUGUUUUAGGAAUUAGAACACAGUGAGAAUAUAUUGGGAUGACAGUAUUAUGUUUAUAAUUACUGCAGGGCCUGAUAAAGAACAAUGUAUGUAAGUUGACACAUACACGCAAUCUAGCUAAGAUAUUGAAAUGAAAGAUGCCAAGGGGAUCAACCAUUAAAUCCUAAUAAAGCAGGGUAGGAGCAUAUUGACAAUGUUUGUGGAAAAAAUUGAGUAAACACAAGGCAACCAUCUGUGAUUCUUUUUUUAAGUAUACUAAUAAUCAGAUACUCAAAAACUACUAUUAAUAACUAAGACUAGAGAGCAAAGAGGGUGUUGAUAUAUGUCUAAGAAGUUGGAAAGUGCCUAUAUACUGCAAGUACUGGUAAUAACUAUAUAUGUAAGGACGUCGUCCAUCAACUCUAACUUGAUCCACAAAUCUAAGUUAGCCAAGUGAGAUUACAGGAGCAGAGAUAUCACUUAUCCAAACAAUGUAUGUAAGUUCACUUGUUUAAAUAAUUAGAGUGAAUUAGGAAGUAUAUAUACAAUGAAACUACACUUACCAAAAAAAAUAAACUCGAAAAAUAAACAAACAAUAAUUCUACAAAAUGGAGCAUUCUUACACAAUAUUAGAGUUACUUGCGACUUCAUUCUUGUGAUUGAAACCCCUCAAGGGAAACAAGGCUCUGAGUGAACUUGGCAACUGACUUGACAUCGGUGAGAUGAGCUGGGAAAGGAAGCUUCUUAGUCGUUUUCUUUGUGUAGUUGUAAAAUUUGUAUCCAAAAACAAAAUUGAGUCCAAGAAAGUGUUGAGCGCCCAAAUAAAGAUACGUCCGAUCCAACUCCAAAUCCAUUUCAAGAUUGAACUUUUUAAUCCACAAGCCAUCAUCAUCUAACAUCCAAAGACUCAUAACUGAUUCAUCCCCAGCAGAUUCAUAUACCAUAGCCACAGAACCUUCAAAAUCCAAAAUCUUAGACUUCUUUAUCCUUUUCUGUUCCACGUAAUCAGGAAACGGUAACACCACAAUUUCUCCAAACAAAUCAUUCCGCAAAUCAAACGGCAAUAGCUCACCCUCCCCUUCCAUGUACAACUUCCCACUAAUAUCAGGACCACAGAAUCUCUUCAGCUUAUGCCAAAAAGACAUUUUAAUAGUAUCCGGAGUACGAAUCAUUUUCCAGGUAUCAGCAUUUGCGGAAUACAACUGUGCUUCUGAGAAGUUACCCAUGUUAAUAAUAAAACCCCAUGUGUUACGGGUAACCUUUGUUACAAUCCUAAGAAUCUUGUAGUCAUUUCCAACAGAAUCAAACCCAAACCCUAAACAAGCCCCGACAUUAUUUAUUGAAUAGUUGGGGGCAUUAAGCAUCUUAUACUGUCUAGUACACGGAUUCCAAAUACAAAUAUCAUAACUACUUUCAUUGGAAAGACAAACAAGACCAUUACAAGAACGCAUGUAAUAAACCAUACCCUCAAGACGUGAUGGCAAUUUAAGCUCAACUGAUUCUUCAACACUGUCCAUGGAGAAAACCCCCCAAUAAUAAGAGGCUUUGAGCACGGAUGCUUGUUUGUUCCUGGAAUUGGCAAGGUGGGCUUCAACAAACUGUGGGCUUUUUAUGAUGGAUAGCCAGGUUUUGCAGACUGAUUUGAAGCGGAGAAGUGAUAUUACAGGAAGAUAGGAAAGUAUGAGAAAAAUUAUCUCUUCGGAGAAAUAAUUAGUCGCCAUUGAGCCCUAGGAAUGAUGAUGAUAAAGUUGCGGUUCAGUGUUCCAGUUCUCAACUCUAUAUACCCGAUGUAUCCUACAUUCAAACGAACAGACACUCCCCCUAUUUCUUCACUCCCGACUCUUCGAUAAAUACACCAGAAAAACAUGAUUCAGAAAUAAACAGGUACAUUUUGCUUCGUAUUAAUAAAAUCAUUUGUUUGUCAAGAAAAAAAACAACAGCAUUUUGUCGAACAUUUAUGAGAAGGAUGUGGGGAAUCUUAAACUCUUCAUUUUUUUCGCGUAUUUAAUUUUUACUCUUUUUGGUUUUUUUUAUAUGUCACGUACCUUUAAGUGGGUUGACUGCAUAGUAAAAAUUAUUAUGAUUGACACUUUGCACCCCUUAUAUUUCGGCGCUUUUUCGAUUUGGUCUCAAACAUUUUUUUUUGACAGUAUGCACCCCAAAGUUUGAAAAGCGCUUCGCUUUGCACCCUUUUGACCAAUCUCCGUUAAUUGACCGUUAAAGUUAACAGAUUUCAGGUUUUCACUUUGCACCCCACAAUUUUAAUUUUUUUUCAUGAGUGUUUUGAAAUAUUUUUUUUCCAAAAUUAGACACUUUUGAAAUAUUUUUUUUCUAAAUUAGACACUAUUGCCUGCUGGUAUUAACGACAUUGUUUACAAAUGCCCUGAACUUCAUAAUAUUAAGAACAUGUGCCAUAGGAUGACAAAAUAAGUUAGGAACUUUUUAAAAGAUUGAUAAUAUCACUUCAGAGCCUGAGAAUGUUGGAGAUUUCAGCCAUAUUAAAAUUCUCAUAUUAUUCUGUGUAAAACGAAUUGCUAUUUAAAACGAACAAAAUUGAUGAUACCUGAUAAAUGCCCAGUAUCUUUGCAAGGCAGGUGGAGCUAUGUGAAGUGAUUGAUUCAGAUAAAUACUUUAAAUAUUCUGGAACGAAGUCGAUAAAAGACUUCAGUUCUGUCUUGGUAACCUGUUUAAUUAUAAACCUGUCAUCUAAGGUUUUUCAAAGAAGACAUUGCUCUUGCCACCCUGCGCUCCCCACUUCUUACAACGGCUAAGAGACCAUAUAUAAUCUAAUUCGUUGCAACAGAUCUUCCGCAAAGCCUUAAAUCUCCUUUCACAAUAACAAAUAACAAGUUACAGUGUACUUUACCUUCUCAAGUGGAACUUCAUCUGUAAAAGAAACCUUAGCAUGCAUAUUGUUGUUGUAUGAGAGCGAGUCCAACCCUGAGGAGGCUUGAGAACUGGACAUGGAUAAGAAGCUCUCAUCAGCAGAAGCAAGAGGCUUGAGAACAACAAUAGUGUCUAAUUUUGAAAAAAAAUAUUUCAAAAGUGUCUAAUUUUGAAAAAAAAUAUUUCAAAAUACUCAUGAAAAAAAAUUAAAAUUGUGGGGUGCAAAGUGAAAAUAUGAAAUCUGUUAACUUUAACGGUCAAUUAACGGUGAGUGGUCAAAGGGGUGCAAAACGAAGCGCUUUUCAAACUUUAGGGUGCAUACUGCCAAAAAAAAUUGUUUGAGACCAAAUCGAAAAAGCGCCUAAACAUAAGGGGUGCAAAGUGUCAAUCACUCUUGUGCACGGGUCGGUUCGGUUCGGUUUUUACCAAAAACCGUUACCAAACCGUGUAUGUCGGUUCGGUUCGGUUUCUAGGUAUUAACCGUAACCGAACCGUUCGGAACGGUUUUUCUCGGUUCGGUUAACCGUUUGUCGGUUUCGGUUUUUUUCGGUUUUCAAAUUUAAUAGUUUAUUCUCUUAAAUAUCAUGCUAAUAAAAAAAUUAUAAAUAUCAUAUUAACAUCGAUAAAAAUUAUAAAUAUCAUAUUAACAGUGCUCUCCAAACACAUCGUUGCGCAAAUCAAACGGCAAUAGCCCACCCUCACCUUCCAAAUACAACUUCCCACUAAUAUCAGGACCACAGGAUCUCUUCAGCCUAUUCCAAAAAGAUACUCUAAUAGUAUCCGGAAUACGAAUCUUUUUCCAAGUAUCAGCCUUUGCGGAAUACAACUGUGCUUCUGGUUUAAGAUUCAUGCUAACAAUAAAACCUCGUAAGUCACGGACAACCUUUGUUACAAUCCAAAGAAUCUUGUAGUCGUUUCCAAUAGAAUCAAAACCAAACCCUAGACAAUGCCUUACACCAAAUGCAUAGUUGGGCACAGAAAGCAUCUUAUACUGUCUAGUACACGGAUUCCAAAUACAAAUAUCAUAGCUACUUUCAUUGGAAAGACAAACAAGACCAUUACAAGAACGCAUGUAAUAAACCAUACCCUCAAGACGUGAUGGCAAUUUAAGCUCAACUGAUUCUUCAACACUGUCCAUGGAGAAAACCCCCCAAUAAUAAGAGGCUUUGAGCACGGAUGCUUGUUUGUUCCUGGAAUUGGCAAGGUGGGCUUCAACAAACUGUGGGCUUUUUAUGAUGGAUAGCCAGGUUUUGCAGACUGAUUUGAAGCGGAGAAGUGAUAUUACAGGAAGAUAGGAAAGUAUGAGAAAAAUUAUCUCUUCGGAGAAAUAAUUAGUCGCCAUUGAGCCCUAGGAAUGAUGAUGAUAAAGUUGCGGUUCAGUGUUCCAGUUCUCAACUCUAUAUACCCGAUGUAUCCUACAUUCAAACGAACAGACACUCCCCCUAUUUCUUCACUCCCGACUCUUCGAUAAAUACACCAGAAAAACAUGAUUCAGAAAUAAACAGGUACAUUUUGCUUCGUAUUAAUAAAAUCAUUUGUUUGUCAAGAAAAAAAACAACAGCAUUUUGUCGAACAUUUAUGAGAAGGAUGUGGGGAAUCUUAAACUCUUCAUUUUUUUCGCGUAUUUAAUUUUUACUCUUUUUGGUUUUUUUUAUAUGUCACGUACCUUUAAGUGGGUUGACUGCAUAGUAAAAAUUAUUAUGAUUGACACUUUGCACCCCUUAUAUUUCGGCGCUUUUUCGAUUUGGUCUCAAACAUUUUUUUUUGACAGUAUGCACCCCAAAGUUUGAAAAGCGCUUCGCUUUGCAGCCUUUUGACUAAUCUCCGUUAAUUGACCGUUAAAGUUAACAGAUUUCAGGUUUUCGCUUUGCACCCCACAAUUUUAAUUUUUUUUCAUGAGUGUUUUGAAAUAUUUUUUUUCCAAAAUUAGACACUUUUGAAAUAUUUUUUUUCUAAAUUAGACACUAUUGCCUGCUGGUAUUAACGACAUUGUUUACAAAUGCCCUGAACUUCAUAAUAUUAAGAACAUGUGCCAUAGGAUGACAAAAUAAGUUAGGAACUUUUUAAAAGAUUGAUAAUAUCACUUCAGAGCCUGAGAAUGUUGGAGAUUUCAGCCAUAUUAAAAUUCUCAUAUUAUUCUGUGUAAAACGAAUUGCUAUUUAAAACGAACAAAAUUGAUGAUACCUGAUAAAUGCCCAGUAUCUUUGCAAGGCAGGUGGAGCUAUGUGAAGUGAUUGAUUCAGAUAAAUACUUUAAAUAUUCUGGAACGAAGUCGAUAAAAGACUUCAGUUCUGUCUUGGUAACCUGUUUAAUUAUAAACCUGUCAUCUAAGGUUUUUCAAAGAAGACAUUGCUCUUGCCACCCUGCGCUCCCCACUUCUUACAACGGCUAAGAGACCAUAUAUAAUCUAAUUCGUUGCAACAGAUCUUCCGCAAAGCCUUAAAUCUCCUUUCACAAUAACAAAUAACAAGUUACAGUGUACUUUACCUUCUCAAGUGGAACUUCAUCUGUAAAAGAAACCUUAGCAUGCAUAUUGUUGUUGUAUGAGAGCGAGUCCAACCCUGAGGAGGCUUGAGAACUGGACAUGGAUAAGAAGCUCUCAUCAGCAGAAGCAAGAGGCUUGAGAACAACAAUAGUGUCUAAUUUUGAAAAAAAAUAUUUCAAAAGUGUCUAAUUUUGAAAAAAAAUAUUUCAAAAUACUCAUGAAAAAAAAUUAAAAUUGUGGGGUGCAAAGUGAAAAUAUGAAAUCUGUUAACUUUAACGGUCAAUUAACGGUGAGUGGUCAAAGGGGUGCAAAACGAAGCGCUUUUCAAACUUUAGGGUGCAUACUGCCAAAAAAAAUUGUUUGAGACCAAAUCGAAAAAGCGCCUAAACAUAAGGGGUGCAAAGUGUCAAUCACUCUAUUUUUAAUUGAUUUUUUUUGUGAAUUAAAGUUUUGAUCAUAUAUUUUUAUUCAGAAAAAUAAAUUUUCAAAAAUAAUAUUUUUAACUAUCCAGUCACGUCUACAAGCACAUAAGCAAGUACAUAAGCAUUUUCAGUGACAUAUAUUUUCUAUUUUUUCAAUUGAUAAAAUAUUAAUGAAUCUCUGUCAAACUUUAGUCAAGUUUACUGACACACAACCAAAAAUGAAGAGACGGAGGGAGUAAUAUUUAGCAAACGAACAAAUCCAUCCAAUAUAAGGAAGACCUAGAUAUACCAAAAGUUUGAACCUAAAUUUACAAAGCAGGGUGUACUUCGUACUUAAUGACAAGGCAUUGUUAGACUAAUUCACUUGUGCUCUCUACAUGCACAAUUUACAAAACAAACAAGCUGGUCCAGUUAUAAACACAUUUGCCACAACUCUGCCUGACUCUUCCUUUCCCUUGAAUGACCUGCAAAAGAUCACAAGAAUGUCAGUCUAAUAAGCACUUGAUAAGUGAUAACAUUUGUCGACAGAUCACCAACUGUAGCAAAGUUCUCUAGAGAACCAUAGCUUCAAACUUGCCUUUAUUUAAUCAAAUUUCACCGCAUGGCCUUGCAUUAUAUUACUAAAAGAUGAAACAGAAAUAAUUAAUGUAUGACAAACUGACAAUGAGGUGAGAAUAGUAAUAUCAUUAUGCACAAGCACUAACAAAAUCUCUCCUUUAAUACAAGUCCUGAACAAUGAGUAGAAUACAAUACAAGAUAAAUAUCUUACAAAUAUUCCUUUAUUGGAUAAAUUGAAGUUCCUUUUCUCAGUUAAACUAGCCGGUAAAAGCAAAAAUAUAAUAACAAAUCUCAAAAAAUACUCUGCAAGAUAACGGUAACUUGGUAGAUCCACAAAAAACCAGGGUAAUUAAUGGAUCUAUUUUUAAGUAUAUUAAUCAGAUACUCAAAAACCUUUAAUAACUAAGACUUAGAGAGCAAAGAGGGUGAUGAUAAGUACAUCGUUUCCCCCAAUGCUAACUUGAUCCACAAAUCUAAUUAGUUACUUAAUUAGCUAGCCAAGUAUUUCAUUUGUUGAAAUAAUAAGAUUGAAUCAGGAACUAUAUACCAAUGAAACUACAAUCAACAAAAAAAAAAACUCUAAAAGUAAACAAAGAAUAAUUCUACAAAAUUGAGCAUUCUUUCACAAUAUUAAAGUUACUUACCACUUCACUCUUGAGAUUUAAACCCCUCAAGGGAGACAAGGCUCUCGGUGAACUUGACAACUGAGUUGACAUCGGUGAGAUGAGCUGGGAAAGGAAGCUUCUUAGUCGUUUUCUUUUUGUAGUUGUAAAAUUUGUAUCCAAAAACAAAAUUGAGUCCAAGAAAGUGUUGAGCGCCCAAAUAAAGAUACAUCCGAUCCAACUCCAAUUCCAUUUCAAGAUUGAACUUUUUAAUCCACAAGCCAACAUCAUCUAAUAUCCAAAGACUAAGAACUGAUUCAUCCCCGGCAGAUUCAUAUACCAUAGCGAGAGAACCUUCAAAAUUCAAAAUUUUAGACUUCUUUAUCCUUUUCUCUUGCACGUGUUUGGGAAACGGUAACACUACAAUUUCUCCAAACACAUUGUUCCGCAAAUCAAAUGGCACUAGCCCACCCUCACCUCCCAAAUACAACAUCCCACUAAUAUCAGGACCACACAAUAUCUUCAGCUUAGUGGAAAGAGAAUCUUUAAUAUUAUCCGGAACCUGAAUCUUUUUCCAAGUAUCAGCAUUUGCGGAAUACAACUGUGCUUCAGGUUCACUCAUGUCGCGGCCACGGAUAACCUUUCUUACAAUCCUAAGAACCUUGUAGUCAUUUCCAAUACAAUCAAAACCAAACCCUAGACAAAUUGCAACAUUAUGUGCAUAAUUGGGGACAGAAAGCCUCUUAUACUGUCUAGUACAGGGAUUCCAGAUACAUAUAACAUAAUAACUUUCAUUGGAAAGACAAACAAGACCAUUACAAGAACGCAUGUAACGAACCUUACCCUCAAGACGUUCACAUGGCAAUUUAAGCUUAACUGAUUCUUCAACAGUGUCCAUGGACAAAACCC
RNAcentral lists this long non-coding RNA (12703 nucleotides) under Daucus carota (carrot). Its description in RNAcentral is "long non-coding RNA (DCAR_LNC005804)". The record is from RNAcentral. Lineage: Eukaryota; Viridiplantae; Streptophyta; Magnoliopsida; Apiales; Apiaceae.